GUUGCUUGGAGUUUUAUGCCUCGCAAAACAUUUGUGGAGACGGUUCAACGAUUGUUUCGUGGAUGUUGGCUAUUUUCGUCGAGUUCUUGGUUGUGGAGUUUCUAAUAAACCAAGCAAGUGAUUGUCCGGAUCGUUAUAUUAUGUAUUUUGGACCGCUUUUAGUCUUUUCCAGUUAUAAACUGUAACAAAAGUUUGCCGUGCAAGACUAGCAUUAGUAAUUUUAGUUCCGGUGUACUUUAACUGAAUGUGUUUAGUUCGGGGAUCUAAGAUGAUAUUUUGGAGAAAGGUCAUUUUGGAAGAUAUUAUUAUAGAAAAAAAAAAUGAAUUUGUAAAAUAUAUUAAAAUACCG
Molecule: non-coding RNA, 349 nt
Organism: Cinara cedri
Lineage: Eukaryota; Metazoa; Arthropoda; Insecta; Hemiptera; Aphididae
Source: the annotation of a GenBank genome assembly